CCUAAGCACAAAAACUCCAACAAACUAGCAAGCACACAACUCAUCCUCCUCCUCUAUAAGAUGAAGUCAUUGCAUCUCCCUCUUUGAUCGAUAUUGUUCCUUUUCCUCAUGAUAUGUUGAUCCCUUCGCUCAUUCGAACAAUUUCUACAGCAGAGUUGAUUAUCCUUACACUGCUUUCUCAAGUGGAGUAGAAAUCAAAAUGAUUAAAGCAAAGAAUCAACGGUUUGCUUGCAUUGAGAAUACACAAGAAGACAUUGUUGGACUGAUCGCUACUAAGUUUGAAACUCAACGAUGUCCAUCACCACUAUGGAGAGUUAGAACUAGGGGUGUUCACUAUGCGAUUUGGCUCAAUUUUGAAUCAAACAAUCAUCUGAUCCAAAUAUUAAAGUAUUCGUGGUUUGGUUUGGUUUGAAUUUCUCCCUUAGAAAAACCUGAUCUGAACCAAUUUAAUGUGGUUGAAAUUGGACAAGUUUUCAAUUAAUCAAAUCACAAUUUGAAAAACUAUUUUGAUACUUAUACAGUAAGACUACAUACAAAUAUAUUUUAUGUAAAACUUCUAAAUAAAAAACAUAUUUUAUGUAAAAUUAAAAUGCCUCAACUUAAACAUAUUGUAAGUAUAUAUACUUAUUAGGCACAAGAGAUUCACUAACAUUUAAACACAAGGUAAGUUCGUAAAAAAAUGUAAAGUGAGUUCAAAUACAAAGUCAUUUGUAUGAGUGUUGUUUUAGCCUAAUAUUUUUUUACUCCUUUAAUGAUCUACAUGAUCUUGGUAGCUUUAGCAUUGAAAAAUACAAAGUAGUAAAUUUAAGGGAAUAUGAAAUGAUCAAAGCAUCACAACCUUAAGAGAUUGGUAAAUUAUUGAUUCUACGUAGGUGUGGUUUGGCUUGAAUUUGUAGUUGUACAAAACCGAACCGACCGGUUCUUGUUCAAAGUAGCCCAAACACAUCCAAAAUAUAUCCAUUUUGAGCGGUUUUUCCAUUAUUUUGGAUCGGUCUAUGAUUCAUUUUUCGAUUGUGGAUUUGAACAUCCCCAAUGAUAAAAUCAUGAAUCUUUGUCGUAACCUUCUCCUCGUCUUCCUAGACACACUCAAGUAU
Molecule: long non-coding RNA, 1094 nt
Filed under: Medicago truncatula (barrel medic)
Lineage: Eukaryota; Viridiplantae; Streptophyta; Magnoliopsida; Fabales; Fabaceae
Description: long non-coding RNA (MTRU_LNC008509)
Source: RNAcentral